AUACAAAAAGAAUCAAAAAAAUUGAGCAUUACAAAAAUGAUACUGUGAGCAAGGACCGUUAUAAGUAACGUUUGAGAGGAAAAAAAGUUUCAAGGGAAUUUCUAUAUAUUCAUUUAAUAUUCUUAAACAGGAAGUGAAUAGAAAGUGGAACACCGGAUAAGCUCCGUGUUCAAAUCCCCGCAUCGAAAUUAAUAAAAGAAAUUGUACGAAGAUUAAACGAUCAGAGAAGUUGAAGCAACAGACGCAUGGCCAUUAAUCCAAAAAAUAAAAAAUUGAAAUAUUAUAAAUUAAAUGUACACUUUUUAGAAUAAGAUGGUCUUUGUUACUCUGAGUUUAGCUGCAUUUGUUUUGACUGGAUUAGGAACAUGUCUACUCUCGUGCGCAUUAUACGGACUAAUGAAAAGAUUGGGAGAUUUGGAAAACGACAUGAGAAGGCAAAAUACAACAUGGCGACGAUCACAAGGGGCAUAAUUAAUGUUAGACUAAAAUGUUAGAAUUGUUUUUAUUUAUGUAAAUUUGUUUCAAUAAUUGUUUUUAAAAUC
Molecule: long non-coding RNA, 542 nt
Organism: Hydra vulgaris (swiftwater hydra)
Lineage: Eukaryota; Metazoa; Cnidaria; Hydrozoa; Anthoathecata; Hydridae
Source: RefSeq, a predicted model, not a curated record